CUCUAAUGUGUCAAAUGUAUGUAGUGAAUUUAUCUUAAAAUUUUCAGGACUAGAUGUUAACACAUGCAUUUAGAAAAAAAAUGUGUUUAAAAUAGUUGGCCUGUAAUAGAUUUUAAAAUGUAUAUGGUUUUAGGAAAAGAGAAAUUAUUUUUGCUGAUAAAAUUCAUAUUUAUAGAUUUCAUUUAGUGAUGUGAUAAUUCGUUUGAGUGUUGAAUUACCUAAACAUUGUUAAGAAAUGACACUUAUGUGUUUACAUAUCUUAUAGAAAUGUAAAAUACAAUAUAUAUUUACAAAUAUGAGUGUAUAGUCUACCAUGAUGUCUUUCAGCUACUAAAUUAUGAGUGUAACUCAAGCAUAAAACUUAAGGUGUCACUUUUGAAAAUUAUGUAUAUUGUAUGAAGAGCAUGUACUUUUAUUUUUCUGGCCACAGAUAUUUGUGUAUAUUUUUCCAGAAGAUACCUCAAAAUUACAUGGGUAUAUAUCCAUCUGAUACCUGGCAAAAUGUAACAUUGUAAGGAAUGAGCUAUUUUUAUCAAACAGCUUGUAUUUCUACAGGUGUAAAUAUCAUGUAAAUAUCAUUGUCUUUUACAAUUUAUAUGACCAACUCAUUGUUUCUAAGGGGGAAACAUAGAGCUCAGUGUUUCAUAUUUGUUUGAAUGCCAGAGGAGAAAGUUAAACACUAUGCAUUUUCUACUCCAUCCUCCUAGUAGCCUAGUUGACCUUUUUUUCUACUUUUUGUCAAAUUUCAUGAAGAUUUUGUACUACCUCUUAGGACACUGCAAAGUUUUGUAUGUGUUUCCUGGUUGCAUGACAAUAUUCAAGACAACUUUGUAAAUAUUGAAAUACAGCAUUUGAAGGUCUUGUUUGUCAAGACGAAUAGAGUGCCACAGGGUAUAAAUUUGUGAGUACAUCAUUGGAAACCUUUGCUUCUUUUCAUUUCUGGUGUGAAAUUUCUGGUGGAGAAUUUAUCGCAUUUUAUGUUUAUUACUUAUUGAUGGUAGAGUAAUAAGAUUUAAUUUUAACUUUGGCUACUGAUCUCAAGGUUAUUCAUCAUUUCCCAUAGGAUAAUUAAGGUUUAUGGUACAUGAAAGGGCAUAAAUCUUCAUUCUGUGCCUCUAGUAAUGAUAGACUAUUAAUGUAAAUAUUUCUUCUACCUCCUUGAAUUAAUACAUUAUUAUAUUCACAUUGCAUGACAGCUUUCAUGACAAGUUGUAAAUAACUGAUACAUCUUUCCAUUUGAAAAAUGCAUUUUCAGAUGCAUAUUCAUAACAAAAGAUAAACCUGUAAAUAUUACAUUGUAAUAUAACAUUAAUGAAGCAUUGUAGCAAAUGCUUUUUUCAAGGAAAAAGAUAAGUACUACUCAGUGUAUUAAGUAUAAAAUUCUGAGUAAGCUAUUUUUGCUUGGAGAAAAAUUACUUAAAGAAAAUUAGAUUUAUUUUCAUGUAUUGUGAUGAGUAAUUUAAAUUUUGAGUUAAGUUGAGAAUUGCUAAAAGCAGUUUCUUGACUAACCAAGGCACAUUUGUUUUUUCAUAUGUAAUUGUAUUUUUUCACAUACAUUAUAGUAGUAAUGUGUAAUGUUUGAUGUUUUUAACCUGUAUUCCAACUUUACAAAUUAUAAAAUAACUUUUCAUUUCUAGUUCAGAUGAGUUUGCAAUCUCAGUGCUAUUACUAGACACGUUUUGUGAUAAUAAAGAGCCUAUAACUUUGUAAAUUUAUAAUUUUUGCUUUCUGAGAUACGGUUUCAAUACAUAAAAGUUUAAAAAUUGCUUAAUAUUUAUAUAUAUUUUUCAUCAGAGAUUAUUAAAGUUGGAUAUCUAUUGUUCCCUCUGAAGUACUUUAAGAAAAAGUAGGCUGUAUGAUAUAUAAGGCAAUAUUAGUUACGUGGUAGAGUUCGGCUGUAUGCGGAACAUCAACCAGCACCUGCCAGAAGAGACCAUGCACAGCUGCACAUCCAUUUGAGACAUCCUGGGCUAUCAAGAUACUGUCAGCAGAAAGUAUGGAAGCAGAAGAACUGAACCCCUCCCUACAGGAACAUAAGAAUAUGUAUUUUAUCAUUUCAGCUUCUCAAAUUUAAUAACACAAGGCCUGUAGCUUAGGACGUUAUAUCAUAAACAUUUAAAAUGUUGAUUUUCAAUAGAAGUGGGAUUUGUGGUAUUGUAAUUGGAGAAAAGAACAAUUUACUUAUAGAUACAUUUUAGUUUUUCAAACUAAGGUAUGUAAUUAAGAAUACUAAUAACACAUGGGUGAUUGAUUUGUUUAAGGUAGACAAUGUAUAUCUUUGAAAUUGCCACCUAGAAUAAAUGAAAAAUUUAGGAAAACAGAAAACAUGUUCAAGAAGGAUGUUAAAUUUUUAUUACCUCUAAAGAGAAAGGAGUAAGACAACUUCUGUCUUUGUAUGUUUUAAGGCCUUUGCUAAUAAGCAUCUUAACAAAAAGAAAUAGACCUUUUUUUCCCAGUAGCUUUGAUUAUCAACAUCCCAGGAGUGAUGGGUUGCCUUAUCCCAAAGUUCUGUUUUUGAACACUCGAGGAUCUCAUGUGACAGCAAAGAGUAUUGCAUUAGCCACGAGGUCAUGACGACAGAUGUCUUAAAUCUACGUUUGUGAUCAACUUUUGGAGUCGAAGACAAAUUACUUUUAAAGUGUUAUCUGCAGCCUAGAGGUAGUCACCAAAAUGGAUAAUCAUUGUUUGUACAAGAUUCCUAAUUGGAAAAAGGUCUAGAAGGUGUGGCGUGAAUGCUCUUACCAAUCAUUAAAACUGAACUAGCUAUUUGGAUGGAGACUGGAAGAUGUCUUUGAAGACUUUCAUAUCUAUUUAAAGACUUUUACUGUUUCUGAUGGACUAACUUCAAGAAAAGUAUGAUGACACUGACAUUAACUUCUUCAGUGUUUUCGGCGCUGCUCAUAAUGACUGCAGGGUAAUUUUGAAGCUGACUUAAAGUUCAGUUAUAACUGAUCAUAAAUUCAUAAAGAACUUUUACCUUGUUUUGUCUUUUCAAAUGGUUUGACUUCAUAGCAUAGCCUGAGUUGUACUGAGCUAAAACAGUAUUGUAUGAAACAUUUUUAGUUACUUUUUGUUGAUUUUUUUUUUUCUAUUUCUCAUGUACAUUAGAUCCAUGUAUGUCUUUCUUGGUCCUCAUUGUUUAGGUUCUCUGAUAUUGUCAUCUGUAGGCUUGUUUUCAUUGCUUUAUGUUUAAAUAUCACUUAUGAGACAUGUAAUAAUUGUCUUUCUUUGUCUGGGUUACCUCAUUUAAUGUUUUCUACUCCAUCCAUUUGCCUGCAUAUUUCAAGAUGUCAUUUUUUUGUUGUGUAGUACUCCAUUGUGUAAUUGUACCACAUUUUCCUUAUCCAUUCUUCAUUUGAGGGCCAGUUAGGUUGCAUGAAGCUCUUUUAUUACCUUUAAAAUUCAUCAAGAUUUUAACAUACAGUGAGUUCUGUUACUUUGGGGAGCAUUUUUUAUAAAUAUAUGACUGCAUCUUUUAUCUGUUGAGAGUAGCUGUAUAUUUUCUACGUCGCACUGAUUCUUAUAAAAAUACGAAUCUUAGAGCUAUUUCAUAAUUUCUUUUGUUUUCAUGUACCAUGGCAAAGUAUAUAAAAUCUAAAUUUGAGUAAGUGUAUUUGAUAAUUUACUAAAAUUAUCAAUAUUUUCAUUAGCAGUGGUACAUGUAUUUGUCUUAAUAUAAUAUUAUAAAGUGCUAUUUAUUAAAUAUCAUUAAAUCAUGCUAUUUCAUUUAUUUGUUAUUGUUUUGAAUUUCCAUACUGAGUGUCUCUCUUAUUUAUAACUUCAUUUAUAAAUGAGUCUGUAAACAAGUCAUGUAUGUCAAAUAAAAUACUGUAUGUUUUGUA
Molecule: long non-coding RNA, 3842 nt
Organism: Alexandromys fortis (reed vole)
Lineage: Eukaryota; Metazoa; Chordata; Mammalia; Rodentia; Cricetidae
Exons: 3
Source: RefSeq, a predicted model, not a curated record